ACGACUCUCGGCAACGGAUAUCUCGGCUCUUGCAUCGAUGAAGAACGUAGCGAAAUGCGAUACUUGGUGUGAAUUGCAGAAUCCCGUGAACCAUCGAGUCUUUGAACGCAAGUGGCGCCCGAGGCCUUCUGGUCGAGGGCACGUCUGCCUGGGCGUCACGCACA
Molecule: ribosomal RNA, 164 nt
Filed under: Thalictrum pubescens (tall meadow-rue)
Lineage: Eukaryota; Viridiplantae; Streptophyta; Magnoliopsida; Ranunculales; Ranunculaceae
Description: 5.8S ribosomal RNA
Rfam family: 5.8S ribosomal RNA
About the family: 5.8S ribosomal RNA (5.8S rRNA) is a component of the large subunit of the eukaryotic ribosome. It is transcribed by RNA polymerase I as part of the 45S precursor that also contains 18S and 28S rRNA. Functionally, it is thought that 5.8S rRNA may be involved in ribosome translocation.
Source: RNAcentral